This 253-nucleotide ribosomal RNA is filed under the name uncultured bacterium. RNAcentral describes it as "partial 16S ribosomal RNA". It matches the Rfam family "Bacterial small subunit ribosomal RNA", at positions 524 to 776 of the family's 1533-position model. The record is from RNAcentral.
UACGGGGGGGGCAAGCGUUGUUCGGAAUUACUGGGCGUAAAGCGCACGUAGGCGGCUUUUUAAGUCAGGGGUGAAAUCCUGGAGCUCAACUCCAGAACUGCCUUUGAUACUGAGAAGCUUGAGUCCGGGAGAGGUGAGUGGAACUGCGAGUGUAGAGGUGAAAUUCGUAGAUAUUCGCAAGAACACCAGUGGCGAAGGCGGCUCACUGGCCCGGUACUGACGCUGAGGUGCGAAAGCGUGGGGAGCAAACAGG